CGAUGCCGAGGGUGCACCGGCA
Molecule: unclassified non-coding RNA, 22 nt
Filed under: Chlamydomonas reinhardtii
Lineage: Eukaryota; Viridiplantae; Chlorophyta; Chlorophyceae; Chlamydomonadales; Chlamydomonadaceae
Description: small RNA Cre_1225
Source: RNAcentral